Molecule: long non-coding RNA, 5732 nt
Filed under: Marmota monax (woodchuck)
Lineage: Eukaryota; Metazoa; Chordata; Mammalia; Rodentia; Sciuridae
Source: RNAcentral
GGACUUUCACUUUCACUUUGUUUUGGUGAGUUUCAUCCACAGCAGGAGGGGACACAGAUCUUGCUUUUCAAGGUCAUGGAGGAGGCACUAAGAAGAGGCCUCUGGCUUGCUGUGAGUCCGGCGGCUCUGCAGUUGACCUCUGUGGGUGUUGACUUGCCUCUGCCUAGAAGGAGGUGUUGGCACCUCCACAGAAAGUCCUUAAUUUACGGUGGCCUGUAUCUGUGAGUGUGGUCUGCUGCCUGUUUGUGACGAGUGACACGUGUUUUAAAGUCUGUGUCCACAUGCAUCCAUGCUUGAGUGAGCAAGCCUUGUCCUUAUGCGAUGCCUUGGUAAACUGGGGGAUGCUGCCUGAUCUUGCUUCUGAUACCAGAAGGCAAUAGACUAGAAACUUUCAUGUAAAAUGAAGAAAGGUGCAUUUUUCUCUGUGAAGGCCUUCAAUGUUUUUCUUUGGCCUGUAAUUGUCAGCAGUCAGGAUUAGACCUCUCGUUUGCAGUCAGAGUAGUUCCCCCGUUGUUGAGAUCAGUGGGCAUAUGAGAGCCCCACCGGUGAUGUCUGCUUUGUGCAGUUUGCCUUUACCUCACCAAAAAUGCUGAGCUUAAUGUUUCCUACCGUGUCCACUGGACGUUUGGGCAAUCUUGUGGUGAGGGGGCGCAAGUAUGUUGUAUUGUCAUGAUACAGUUGAAGUUGGUAAACUCAGUGUGAAUGUUCUACAUAAAGUGCUUUAACCCUUAGGAUUUCCUAGUCAGGAAGCAAAGUCAGUACCAGCAGGCGCCUCAAAGGUGACAGGCAUGACAUCGCGCUCUCUGCUUCUAGCUAAACUGAAGUCUCAAUUUGCAGCCGAAUUCCUGGGUACAGCUGGUUGUGUUUAGUCUUUGUUUCAAACUGUUACCAGGUUUACUUUUCAAAUCACCACAAAACCAACAGUCAAAAAGGAUCUCUCUUCAAACUCACCUUUUCCCCUCUUCCUGAAAAGAAGCUACAUGUGUUAUAUGAUUGUUCUUUCACUUGUGGCUUAUGCUUAUAAACCUAUAAAUUUAAGCCUCAGACAGACAGUAGUUCGUUGUUUUAAAUGAAGCAGUCGGGACUCUGCUUCGUAUGCAAGUUAACCUGCAAAUGCCGGUCAAUGUGCUGCAUGUUGAAGUCACUUUAUUCCACUCUGACAUCAGAGUUGACUUGGGGUCAGCCACAGCUGGCAUACUGUUGGAGCAGCAAUCAAAUAGCAGAGGGGUGUUUGGCUGUUCCAUGUUUGACAAAGUCAAAUUUGAAAUGAUAAUUUUUACAUCCAUCGGUACUUGCCUGUACUGCUAAGCUCCAUCUGUGCCAUUCUAAAACCUUUUGAUGUGAAUUUUCAGUUUGGUACAAAUAGAAAUGAUUCACGGAAGCGGAAGGGCAAGAACAGUCCCUCUACCCCCAUCUCCGGUGACUCAGCAUUUCAUUCUACCUCUUGAACCAUUGAGUUGGUGUGGGUGUGGAUGUCCUGGUCCAGCCUGAGGGUGCGCUGGUAGAAUUGGGGUGUGCAUCUAAUCGUUGACAGCCCUCUAUUGAUACUUGGCAGAAGACACCAGCCUGACCCAGCAGUGAAUAUUCAUUUUUGGAACAUGUGAAGCUUUGCUUCGCAGAAUGUGUGCUUUAAAAAUGUCGAAGGUAACAGAUGUUUGGAAAGAACCAUGGAAAGAGCUACAGGGAAACCAGAAUCCGAGAACCUGCUAGUUGCCAAAUUCCAGAGUCAUUCCUGUAUAACGGUUACUUGGGAAGGAAGGCCAUCCCUCAAAAAACACGCAUCGGUCUCCUUUCUGGGAGACAUGGGAGGGGGAUCCACAGUCUGUCUCUGUGGAAGGCAGAGGUCUGGCUCUGCGGGGUUCGGGCUCCUUGGGACUUUUUCUUGCGCUUUGUCUGGGCCCCAUGUGGUGCUCUGUGCUUUGAGACACCAGGAAGAGCUGCAGCAUUGCGACCCCCUUCCUCCAGGCAUGCCAUUGGUAGCAGAGUCAGGAAAACCCUGUAUGUUAGACUUGCUUGGAGAAAUGGACCUUCCCCGGAGGGCACGUUUGUCCCUGACUUCAGACUGGCAUCUGACAAGGUGAGGAACUCUGCCCAGAAGGAAGAGGGCGGGAAAAGGGAGCGAAGGAGGCUCUCCAGCCCUCCCAACUCCAUGGCUCCCUCUUGCCCCUGAAGCUCAGCAGUCCCAAGCACUGGUCUGUUUGUCUUGAUGGAGCAAAAUGGAGAUUCACUAUGAGAAGCAGAACUGGGAGACUUCUGUGCCAAAGACUGCCUCAGAGAGGCCCCAGUACCCCCAUCCUCCUUGAAUUCACAGAGCUGCAGUGCUGCGAUCACCGACUCCUCUCAUAUUUAUCAUCCAUGAGAUUUUUGCUUAAGGGUACCCUUUACCUGGGGCAGAUGGACAGACAUGUGUUGAGGAACAAUGAAAAGUUGCCCCACACAACUGUCCAGGUCCUGAAAAGAGAAGAGUUUCCUUCACCCAGGUUAAAAGUCCCGGGAUGAAGGCAGAAGAGAGAAUUCCUAGAAGCCAGAGCAGAUUUUAGAGAUGCAAAUGAUGUCAAGCAGAAAGCAGUUGUGGUGUUGACAGCUGUGGACAUUGCCUUUGCUUGUCAGUGUGGGGGUCCAUAAGAAGAUUCUGAGCCUCUGCUCAGAGCAAGGAACCACUGCUCUGAAAUGAGGAGGGAACACACGACCCAGCCCGGUUUGGGUUGGGUUUCAUCCUUCGAUAAGGCUUUACCAAUGAUGGCUGGCAAACUUUUAGUGUGAUCAGGGAGAUGAUGGGUUUGGUGUUUCACCAGACACCUCUCUCUAGUUGAAAUAACAAACAGCCCUGCUCUGGGGAUCGUGGUGAAUGUAAGAUGUCUGUUUUCAUGCCAAAUUUCAGCACCCCCAGAGUGUGCUCUGGAAUCUUGAUCGGAGGUGUUCUUUGGGUUGCCCCUUCCCAAGGGGAACAGAAUGGUCGCCUUUAUUGAGGGACCAACAGGAAGUUCCAACUCAGAGGUGGGCAUGAUGGCCCCUGGCAGUUGCAAGGGAGAUUUCCCUCUCAGGAAGGGAGCCCAAGGGACACCUGGAGUGUGUGUGGCUCAGUCCUGCCAUUGAUAGUGUUGAAGCUCUGUUUUGAUGAGACUGUCUCUCCCCUGGAUCCGGAGCUGGUGAUUGGGGAGGGAGAACACAGUCAAGAACAACCUCCAGGCUGUGUGGGCCUCAGCUGUUUGGGUCUUGGGGUGGGCUGGAACUGGCUAGUUGCCGUUGCUAGAGACCCUACAGGGUGAUUCCUCCCAGAAGCUCAGCUGCCUGUGGUCAGGGCAGGGCCCAUUUACUGGGACCUCACCUUCCCAGACACCUACUUUAAGGGCUUGUAGCAACUGAGUAAGUUAAUUAUCUGGCUGGGGUGACAUCGCUCUGGCCAUCCUCGUUUAUGGGAGGAUAUUGGAAUUUGGGUUUGCCUUCUCCCUUUCAAAAGCCCUCAAGAUGACAGCAGAUUGGACAUGCCCUAUCAUCGCUGAGGUGUCUUUUCAAUCCAGAUAACAGGUGGCAUUUACUAGUACAUUUGAGGAAAACGUCCUCUCCUAGGCCAGACUUACAGACAGAUCGGGGUGUAUUGGAAUUGCUCUCCUCUUCCUUGUUUUAAUAAUCUAGGAAUCAAAUUUUUCACCACCCUACUCUGUAGGUUUUUGUUUUAAGUAUCCCCAACUUGCACAUAUCGGAGUGUGCAGGAGCUGUCUGCAUUAAAGGAAAAAAAAAUGUUGGAGUGGGGCUGUGUUCUAAGGGAGUGGACUGCUCUCUUAAUCAUUUGAGUUUGAAGUGUGUCCUGGGCAUGACUGUCCAACCCUUAACUAUGUGGCAGAAAAAUGUUAUCCAGGUAGUUUGUCCUGCUAAUCUGUGAAUAAGUGCUAUGAAAAACAAUAACUUUUAAUAAACCAAUAAGAUAUUUGUUUCAUAUAAACAUUCUGUGUAUUUAGAACUUGAAAAAUCAACAAAUCCAGAAUUUAAAAAUAAUGCCACAAGACUGUUAAAAGCCUAACUCUACUUCUGAGAAUUUUUCAAGACCUAAUAUGCCUUAUUCUUCCACUAGUGUUUUUAAGAUUCUUGAUAGAAAGUUUUAGAUAUAUAGUCAGCCAUUCAGCUUAAAUACUAGAGAUCUAACAUAGUCAGUCCUCAGUCCUCUUAAAGAAAAAAGCCAGAAAGUGAGGGUCAGAAUGAGGUGGCCUUUGGGGAGGAGAGAAGUAAGCGUAGCUAUUGCCAAAUGAUGUUUUUAAUAAUGCAAGGAAGCCCAGGAACCACACCACCUCUUGUCGUUUUAAAGUGUGAAAUAUUAGUUCAGUGCCUUUUGGCAUGCUUUUAAUUAUAGAGGUUACAGUAUCAGCAUUGACAAAUCACAGAUCCAGAGAACUCUAUAGAUUAUGAUAGUAUUGAAGGCUUACCCUGAUUCUGCAGAACAGCUUUUGAAGGUACUGUGAGGAUCUCAGAGGGGCAUGUUUUGGAUGGAAAAUCUCCACAGGUUGAAAUGCCAAAAACGUAUUCUGUUGACUCACAUAAUUGAGUCCACUUCAGCAAAGCUUUUGUUAUUAAACCAGAGAUGAAGAGUGUUGUGUAUGUGCCUCUCCCAGGAGGGCUGUUCCCCCCACCACCACCACCACCAAAUGAUUCUGGGCUCUUUCUAGGCUGGGCCAGAGCAACCAACACCUACCUGUCCACAUUCUUAUUGGACAGGCUUGUUCACGGUCGUAGAUCAAUCUGUCUUUCAGAAAUGGUACUAGGAGGAGGAAAUAGAAUCACGUAUUCCUCUGUGUAGAAGUGGGGAGGGGGAGAAACAGAUUGCAGACCAGAAUGUGAAUCCGUAUCAUGUCGCCUGGGCCUUCGUCGGGAACAAACCAGCAUCUCUUAAUGGUCAGCACUGUCCACCGGACACCCCUGAGCCUGUGCGCCUAUCCCAUCUCUGUGGGUUGGGAUGCAUUGAGAGGUGACCUACCCCUGAUAUACUCCCGCGAAAUCAACUGCCAGCAAACUUUCUAACUUGUAUUUUAACUGUUAAGAAGAGAUUAAAAUUUUACUUAGGACAUUUCCAAAUUAUGGACUGUGUUUUUUUUAAUUUUAGAAAUUAUUCUUUAUGUUUAAGACUUUAAGAGAAAAAGAAAACUCUUUCUGAGGUGUUGAUGAAGUCCUCUGUGUAAAUGUGUCGUCUUCUCUUCAUGCUGCCAUUAAGCCAAAACAAAAGCUGUGAAUAUAAAAAGUGCUCAAGAAGAGUGUGUGUAGAUGAGAAAGCAGUUUAUUUACAGACCAGAAGUCUUUAUUUCAUUAAGCUACCAAAUGUUAGAAAGAAUGUCACCUUUUUUUCUUGUCACUCAGAGAUUAUGGAAUGGGGGAGGAGAGUUGUUUUUGUUGAAUUUCUGAUGCUGGCACGAAGUUUUUUGCCCACUUUUUUUUCAUGUUAUCUGUGUAUUAAAAAAUCUGUUUGUUGUUGUUUACUAUGGAAUUAGUAUUUUACAUUUUGAGGUAAAUAAAGAAUUUGUAUUGCUUGAUAAACUAUUAGCUUGUAAAUUCAAACAAAGUUUCUUUACCUCAAUUAACUUAAAGUAAUGGACCAAUAAAUCUAUAAAAGAUGCUUUCUUUACCUUGACUCCUGUUCUCUUUUGUACCAUUGUAGGACUGGACAAUAUGAUUGCCACCUCUUUUGUUUUCUUAUUUUCUGAACAGAAAAUAAUUUGCCUAUAAGAAUCAAAUAUACAGAGCAA